Molecule: ribosomal RNA, 440 nt
Filed under: uncultured bacterium
Lineage: Bacteria
Description: partial 16S ribosomal RNA
Rfam family: Bacterial small subunit ribosomal RNA
Source: RNAcentral
CCUACGGGAGGCAGCAGUGGGGAAUAUUGCACAAUGGGGGAAACCCUGAUGCAGCGACGCCGCGUGAGUGAAGACGUAUUUCGGUAUGUAAAGCUCUAUCAGUAGGGAAGAAAAUGACGGUACCUGAUUAAGAAGCCCCGGCUAACUACGUGCCAGCAGCCGCGGUAAUACGUAGGGGGCCAGCGUUAUCCGGAUUUACUGGGUGUAAAGGGAGCGUAGACGGCAGCACAAGUCUGGAGUGAAAUGCCGGGGCUUAACCCCGGAACUGCUUUGGAAACUGUGCAGCUAGAGUGCAGGAGAGGUAAGUGGAAUUCCUAGUGUAGCGGUGAAAUGCGUAGAUAUUAGGAGGAACACCAGUGGCGAAGGCGGCUUACUGAACUGUAACUGACGUUGAGGCUCGAAAGCGUGGGUAGCAAACAGGAUUAGAUACCCCAGUAGUC